RNAcentral lists this ribosomal RNA (497 nucleotides) under uncultured bacterium. RNAcentral describes it as "partial 16S ribosomal RNA". It matches the Rfam family "Bacterial small subunit ribosomal RNA", at positions 28 to 507 of the family's 1533-position model. The record is from RNAcentral.
GAUGAACGCUGGCGGCGUGCCUAAUACAUGCAAGUCGAGCGAACGAACGAGAAGCUUGCUUCUCUGAUGUUAGCGGCGGACGGGUGAGUAACACGUGGAUAACCUACCUAUAAGUCUGGGAUAACUUCGGGAAACCGGAGCUAAUACCGGAUAAUAUUUUGAACCGCAUGGUUCAAAAGUGAAAGCCGGUCUUGCUGUCACUUAUAGAUGGAUCCGCGCUGCAUUAGCUAGUUGGUAAGGUAACGGCUUACCAAGGCAACGAUGCAUAGCCGACCUGAGAGGGUGAUCAGCCACACUGGAACUGAGACACGGUCCAGACUCCUACGGGAGGCAGCAGUAGGGAAUCUUCCGCAAUGGGCGAAAGCCUGACGGAGCAACGCCGCGUGAGUGAUGAAGGUCUUCGGAUCGUAAAACUCUGUUAUUAGGGAAGAACAUAUGUGUAAGUAACUGUGCACAUCUUGACGGUACCUAAUCAGAAAGCCACGGCUAACUACGUG